Molecule: transfer RNA, 73 nt
Filed under: Camelus bactrianus (Bactrian camel)
Lineage: Eukaryota; Metazoa; Chordata; Mammalia; Artiodactyla; Camelidae
Also listed under: 2 other names
Rfam family: tRNA
About the family: Transfer RNA (tRNA) molecules are approximately 80 nucleotides in length. Their secondary structure includes four short double-helical elements and three loops (D, anti-codon, and T loops).
Source: Rfam by way of RNAcentral
GAAGGUGUAGCUCAAGUGGUAGAGCAUAUGCUUAGCAUGCACAAGGUCCUGGGUUCAAUCCCCAGUACCUCCU